GCCGCCACUCGAGUGCGCAGGCGCCUGGCGGUUACCGGUCUCACCAUGGAGCGGAAAGUGCUUGCGCUCCAGGCCCGAAAGAAAAGGACCAAGGCCAAGAAGGACAAAGCCCAAAGGAAAUCUGAAACUCAGCACCGAGGCUCUGCUCCCCACUCUGAGAGUGAUCUACCAGAGCAGGAAGAGGAGAUUCUGGGAUCUGAUGAUGAUGAGCAAGAAGAUCCUAAUGAUUAUUGUAAAGGAGGUUAUCAUCUUGUGAAAAUUGGAGAUCUAUUCAAUGGGAGAUACCAUGUGAUCCGAAAGUUAGGCUGGGGACACUUUUCAACAGUAUGGUUAUCAUGGGAUAUUCAGGGGAAGAAAUUUGUGGCAAUGAAAGUAGUUAAAAGUGCUGAACAUUACACUGAAACAGCACUAGAUGAAAUCCGGUUGCUGAAGUCAGUGAGUAUUAGAUUAUAUGUAUGAAUGUGAAGAAUUAUAAAUAAAUCAAGUUUCAUUGAAUAAAAACACACCAAGUGGAGACUCUUUAGCAUGGAUAAUUUUCUCUAUAAAGUUCUAGUAACCUUAAAGAGGUAAAGGAAGACAACAAUAUUUACACAUACCAUGCAUGUAGUAGGGAACUGGUGGCAAAUGCUAUAAU
Molecule: small RNA, 634 nt
Filed under: Pan troglodytes (chimpanzee)
Lineage: Eukaryota; Metazoa; Chordata; Mammalia; Primates; Hominidae
Description: retained intron
Source: RNAcentral